GUAACGCAGACCACCUGAUGGAUUUCUGUAGUCAGUGGUCUAAAGGUGGACAAGAUUCCAUGUCUCUGAGGGGUUUCCUGGCAACCUAUUGGAGCAUGGAAGUCAUGGCCUCCUUACAGAACCUGUGAUUUCUUUUGGGAACUGAAGGAAAACACUACUGUAUCUGACAAUGCCCAACACUCCUUGAAUAUUUUGUCACUUGAAUUCUCAAAAUAGCACUUUACCCUCACUAUUAUUUUUCUAAACUACCAUUUAAAGAGUUAAUGUUCUUUAGACCUCCACACUGCUGCUAACUGUCCAACAGGCAUAACACAUGAAUUCCUGAUGAGAGUUUUCAGCACAUUUCUAUUACUAUCCUGAGAUAAUAUGAUCAUGGAUAACCUUCACCAUUUUGUGAAGAUAGUUGACUAUGCAACUGAGAAGUUUAGACAUGCAGUGGUUUAGAUCUCUCCCACAGAUAUACAUUGUAGGAACCUUUCUCAAUGGUGUUUGACCUCAGGAUUUUAUUUAAUUCCCAGGAGAGUUCUAAAGCUCCAGUGUGGUGGAAAUGUGGACAAGGACUCCAAAUGCUUCUCAACUGAGUGUCUUAACCAUACCUGGCAUGUCUGCUCAAGUUUGUUGUUCUGCAGGAGAACAUUUUUCUGCCAGACAUAACUUUGGCACAUGAUGUCACACAACUUCAAAAAAUAUGUUUCAAUGAAAGUAUCAUGAUCUUUUAUUCUUUAGGAAGACCAGAGGACCAAAUUCUAGCUGCCCAAAGCUCUCAGCAUAUCUAUAUCUCAGUUUCUCUUUUACAUGUCCCUAAUUCUUGUUAUGCAUGCCUCCAUAACCACUGUUUUUGCCAAAAUAUGAAUAUAUAUUUUUUCUUGUAUGCCAAGAAGAAAAUAUGUAAAAUGUAGUCAGCAAAAAGAGAAUCAUGCUUUCAUACUCUAACUCUGCCAGGGAGAUUUGGCAGUAAUUCAAAUUCAGCUUUAUAUCUAUGCAAAAAUCCAAUCUCUCCUUUGCUGAAAAAGUUAUAUUUGAAUUGAAAGGUAUCUACAUUAGUUUCCUAAUUUUGCUCUAAAAUAUUUUCCUUUAUAAAAUUAAGGAGAUUUUUCUGUUACAACUUUAUAUUUUAUAUUCUAAAAUUUCAUAUACUAUAAAAUCACUAUACACAGUGAUUUCAUAUACCAUUGGGUAUUCAUUUUGACAUAAUGGUGUAUCAUGAAGAACUAAUUUGCUCAAACUCAGUGCCAAGUAUCUCCACAUGCUUUGUUUUCCAUACUCUAUUGAUGGGUAUCAUAGUUAGUCCUAUAACUUCAUAAUUCUGACUUGUAGUGCUAAAACAUCGAAGUUCAUAUGUAACAUGUGCAUACUGAUUUCCAUACAUUGGAAUUCAGAUCAAGGAGUGGGAAAUAUGGGUCAUGUGGCAGUCAUAUUCAUAGUAUCCAAAGGAAUCUCCAUAAUGUUUUCCAGCGUGGAAGUCAUAAUUUUAAGUAUGAUAGUGUAAGAUUGUAUUUUCCUGCCACAUCCUGCACUGCACUUAUUAUUUAACUACUUGAUAAAUGUCAUUCUGACUGGGGAAAUCUGAAAUGUUAAUGCAGUUUUGAAUGGUAUUUCCUUGAGUGCUAGAUGUUGACCAAAU
RNAcentral lists this long non-coding RNA (1624 nucleotides) under Marmota monax (woodchuck). Lineage: Eukaryota; Metazoa; Chordata; Mammalia; Rodentia; Sciuridae. The record is from RNAcentral.